NNNNNNNNNNNNNNNNNNNNNNNNNNNNNNNNNNNNNNNNNNNNNNNNNNNNNNNNNNNUCAAGAGGGACGUGGGAGCAGGGGGGACAUGGCCGCGUGGGGACAUCGGUGGGGACGUGGCAGCAUGGGGACAUCAAGAGGGACGUGGGAGCAGGGGGACGCGGCCGCGUGGGGACAUCGGUGGGGACGGGGGACGAGGCAGCGUGGGGAAGCUGCGGGGCACACGGGGACACGGCAGGGGACGGGGACACCGCAGCGCGGGAGCACGGCAGCUUGGGGACGCUGCAGGGCAUGAGGUUGGGGACAGGGACACGGUGGCAUGGGGGGCACAGCAGUGUGGGGACAUCGCAGGGGACGCGGUUGGGGACGCCAUGGGUGAUGGGGUUGGGGACGGCCACACAGGGACACUACGGGGGGGACACGGCAGCAUGGGGACGCAGCUGGGGACGGGGACAUGGCAGCACAGGGACGCUAGGGGGGGACGUGGCAGCGCGAGGACGCGGCAGGGAACGAGGACACGGCCGCACRGGGACGCCACAGGGACAUGGCAGGGGACGGGGACACGGUCACACGAGGACACCGCAGGGCACGGGGACAUGGCCAGACAGGGACACCGUGGGGGACACGGCCACACGGGGAUGCUGUGGGGACAUGGCAGGGGACAGGGACACGGCCAGACAAGGACACUGUGGGGGGACACGGCCACAUGGGGAUGCGGCAGGGGACAGGGACAUGGCCAGACAGGGACACCGUGGGGGGACACGGCCACACGGGGAUGCUGUGGGGACACGGCAGGGGAUGGGGACGCGGUCACACGAGGACACCGCAGGGCACGGGGACACGGCCAGACAGGGACACCAUGGGGGACACGGCCACAUGGGGACACCACAGGGACAUGGCAGGGGACAGGGACACAGCCAGACAGGGACACCGUGGGGGGACACGGCCAUGUGGGGACACCGCAGGGACAUGGCAGGGGAUGGGGACGCGGUCACACGAGGACACUGCAGGGCACGGGGACACGGCCAGACAGGGACACCGUGGGGAUGUGGCAGGGGACAGGGACAUGGCCAGACAGGGACACCGUGGGGGACACGGCCACACGGGGAUGCUGUGGGGGGACACGGCCACAUGGGGACACCACAGGGACACGGCAGGGGACAGGGACACGGCCAGACAGGGACGCUAGGGGGGGACAUGGCCACAUGGGGACACUGCAGGGACACGGCAGGGGAUGGGGAUGCAGUCACACGAGGACACCGCAGGGCACGGACACGGCCAGACAGGGACACCGUGGGGGGACACGGCCACGUGGGGACGCAGCUGGGGAUGGGACACGGCCAGCGCGAGGACGCCGUGGGGGGACAACGGCCACAGGGGGACACCGUGGGGACACGGUCACAUGGGGACGCCGUGGGGACGCGGCAGGGGACAGGGACAUGGCCAGACAGGGACACCGUGGCAGACACGGCCACACGGGGACACUGUGGGGACGCCGCAGGGACGCCACGGGGGACAUGGCCGCACAGGGACACUGUGGGGACACCAUGGGGGACAUGGCCGCGUGGGGACACGGCAGGGGACGGGGACGCGGGCGCGCGGGGACGCCGCGGGGACGCCGAGGGGGACGCGGGCGCGCAGGGGGGGACGCCGCGGGGACGCCGGGGUGGCCGCGGCGGUGGCACCUGGAUGUCGUUGUGCGGGUUCCAGUCGGAGUCGAAGAUGACGACGGUGUCGGCGGUGGCCAGGUUGAUGCCGAGGCCGCCGGCGCGCGUCGACAGCAGGAAGCAGAACUGCUGCGCCCCGGGCGCUGCGGCACC
Molecule: long non-coding RNA, 1819 nt
Organism: Apteryx rowi (Okarito brown kiwi)
Lineage: Eukaryota; Metazoa; Chordata; Aves; Apterygiformes; Apterygidae
Source: Ensembl